GAGUCACUGGCCCCGUCCGCAUCCUUCUCCAGCGGCCCCGGGGGCCGCCGCGCCUUAACUCGAUCAGGGCUGCAGCGGCUCGCUGGCUUGACCAGUGCAGAAGGGGCGUGGGUACUAACAGUCUAAGCAGAAAAAGAAGAACAGAUGGUGGUAAGACCUAGAAUGUUUACCCCAUUAAGAUCUAUAUCUGAAUCCAGAAGGAACACCUCAUUGCCGAGAAGAGCCCUGCAGACAGUUCACACCUCUGUUUCUUUUGCAAGAUAUAGCUACCUCAAAAAAUCCUUUCUUGAUCAAACUCUUAUGGCCUGGAAUCCUUGCGUUUCUGCUGAUGACUGUCAUUUUAGAGUACUUACUAAAGACAAUGGUUGGGGAAAUAGAUAUUUUAAAAAUAAGGGAAAAAGUGGGUAGGGUAAACCCAGGCUUACUUAUGUAAACUCUGAGUGCUGAAGUUAGAAGACAACUUUUAAGAUUAAAAAAAAAAAAAAAAAAA
Molecule: long non-coding RNA, 490 nt
Filed under: Homo sapiens (human)
Lineage: Eukaryota; Metazoa; Chordata; Mammalia; Primates; Hominidae
Description: HSALNT0295358
Source: RNAcentral